ACGGAUAAAAGGUACUCUGGGGAUAACAGGCUGAUACCGCCCAAGAGUUCAUAUCGACGGCGGUGUUUGGCACCUCGAUGUCGGCUCAUCUCAUCCUGGGGCUGAAGCAGGUCCCAAGGGUAUGGCUGUUCGCCAUUUAAAGAGGUACGCGAGCUGGGUUUAGAACGUCGUGAGACAGUUCGGUCCCUAUCUACCGUGGGCGCUGGAAAUUUGAGAGGAUCUGCUCCUAGUACGAGAGGACCAGAGUGGACGAACCUCUGGUGUACCGGUUGUGACGCCAGUCGCAUCGCCGGGUAGCUAUGUUCGGAAGGGAUAACCGCUGAAAGCAUCUAAGCGGGAAGCCUACCUCAAGAUAAGAUUUCCCUAGGACUUUAUGUCCUCUAAAGAGCCGUUCGAGACUAGGACGUUGAUAGGUUGGAUGUGGAAGCAUAGUGAUAUGUGAAGCUGACCAAUACUAAUUGCUCGUGAGGCUUGACUAUACAACACCCAAGCAGUUG
This 497-nucleotide ribosomal RNA is filed under the name Acinetobacter baumannii. RNAcentral's name for it is "bacterial LSU rRNA". It matches the Rfam family "Bacterial large subunit ribosomal RNA", at positions 2452 to 2925 of the family's 2925-position model. Lineage: Bacteria; Pseudomonadati; Pseudomonadota; Gammaproteobacteria; Moraxellales; Moraxellaceae. The record is from RNAcentral.